ACCUCAUACAUAUGGCUCAGUUGGUAGAGCACGAGACUCUUAAUCUCAGGGCCAUGGGUUCAAGCACCAUGUUGGGCA
Molecule: non-coding RNA, 78 nt
Organism: Podarcis lilfordi (Lilford's wall lizard)
Lineage: Eukaryota; Metazoa; Chordata; Lepidosauria; Squamata; Lacertidae
Source: the annotation of a GenBank genome assembly